Molecule: RNA transcript, 566 nt
Organism: Dermacentor silvarum
Lineage: Eukaryota; Metazoa; Arthropoda; Arachnida; Ixodida; Ixodidae
Exons: 4
Source: RefSeq, a predicted model, not a curated record
ACCUGCCUGCUGAGGGACGGAACACGCGUAGGGACUGCGUUGUUGCUUUCCUGGCUGUGGAGCUACAGUGUUUACGCGUUCACUGUGAGGCCGGUCCGCUGGAAUGCUUGCGCCAGAGACUGCCCAUUUUGACACUUUACAGUUUCACUGGAGCACGAAAACAGCCUGGGUUGUGUGACUGUCUUCAAGCUUCUAAAGACAAUGAUUCCCCUUGAAGAUCGCAAUGACGAGUGUGAGGUGCCCAAAAGCCGACCGAUUGGAAAAUGCUCUUACGUAAGGUCUGUGAAUAUGGGCCCUUUUAUUCGUGACCUGCUCCAUCGGAGCCAGCUCAGAGUCAGCGACCCGCCUUUAGCAAAAGUGAACCACUCUAGUCGCGGCGUCAACAUGACACUCGUCAUCUUGACUUACAGUUCACCUUGGUUUUGUGACUGCGGACCGUUCUCAACACAAGAUCGUACGUUAUCACUUUUGUCGACGAACACCUAUUUAAAAACAGGCAAAAAGCUAUUCCUUGAAUUCAAUGCCGAGCUUGUUAGUUCUAGUUGCGACCGUAUAUGUUAAAUAUC